UGAAAUGGACAGGAAGGGUGGGCGGGCCU
Molecule: non-coding RNA, 29 nt
Filed under: Homo sapiens (human)
Lineage: Eukaryota; Metazoa; Chordata; Mammalia; Primates; Hominidae
Source: RNAcentral